Molecule: transfer RNA, 84 nt
Filed under: Thermoleophilaceae bacterium
Lineage: Bacteria; Bacillati; Actinomycetota; Thermoleophilia; Thermoleophilales; Thermoleophilaceae
Description: tRNA-Asn
Rfam family: tRNA
About the family: Transfer RNA (tRNA) molecules are approximately 80 nucleotides in length. Their secondary structure includes four short double-helical elements and three loops (D, anti-codon, and T loops). Further hydrogen bonds mediate the characteristic L-shaped molecular structure. tRNAs have two regions of fundamental functional importance: the anti-codon, which is responsible for specific mRNA codon recognition, and the 3' end, to which the tRNAs corresponding amino acid is attached (by aminoacyl-tRNA synthetases). tRNAs cope with the degeneracy of the genetic code in two manners: having more than one tRNA (with a specific anti-codon) for a particular amino acid; and 'wobble' base-pairing, i.e. permitting non-standard base-pairing at the 3rd anti-codon position.
Source: RNAcentral
GGGGGCGUGGCGAAAUAGGUAACCGCAGCGGAUUGUUAAUCCGCCGUCUCUGGAGACUUGCGGGUUCGAAUCCCGUCGCCCCCG